UUGUCAUUAGUUGCUACAUUCAGUUGGGCACUCUAAUGAGACUGCCGGUGACAAACCGGAGGAAGGUGGGGAUGGACGUCAAGUCCUCAUGGCCCUUAUACGGUGGGGCUACGACACGUCAUACAAUGGAUGGUACAAAGGGUCGACCAACCCGCGAGGGGGAGCCGAAUCCCAUAAAGCCAUUCGUAGUCCGGAUCGCAGUCUGCAACUCGACUGCGUGAAGUCGGAAUCGCUAGUAAUCGUGGAUCAGAAUGUCACGGUGAAUACGUUCCCGGGUCUU
This 280-nucleotide ribosomal RNA is filed under the name uncultured Acidovorax sp. RNAcentral's name for it is "partial 16S ribosomal RNA". It matches the Rfam family "Bacterial small subunit ribosomal RNA", at positions 1105 to 1382 of the family's 1533-position model. The record is from RNAcentral. Lineage: Bacteria; Pseudomonadati; Pseudomonadota; Betaproteobacteria; Burkholderiales; Comamonadaceae.